CGCGGGGUAGAGCAGUCCGGCAGCUCGUCAGGCUCAUAACCUGGAGGCCGUUGGUUCAAAUCCAACCCCCGCAA
This 74-nucleotide transfer RNA is filed under the name Elusimicrobia bacterium RIFOXYA2_FULL_39_19. Its description in RNAcentral is "tRNA-Met". It matches the Rfam family "tRNA". From Rfam's summary of the family: Transfer RNA (tRNA) molecules are approximately 80 nucleotides in length. Their secondary structure includes four short double-helical elements and three loops (D, anti-codon, and T loops). The record is from RNAcentral. Lineage: Bacteria; Pseudomonadati; Elusimicrobiota.